This 449-nucleotide ribosomal RNA is filed under the name uncultured bacterium. RNAcentral's name for it is "bacterial SSU rRNA". It matches the Rfam family "Bacterial small subunit ribosomal RNA", at positions 354 to 796 of the family's 1533-position model. The record is from RNAcentral.
GUCGAGAAUUUUUCACAAUGGGCGAAAGCCUGAUGGAGCGACGCCGCGUGGGGGAUGAAUGGCUUCGGCCCGUAAACCCCUGUCAUUUGCGAACAAACCUAUCGGUCUAACACAUCGAGAGCUGAUUGUAGCGAAAGAGGAAGGGACGGCUAACUCUGUGCCAGCAGCCGCGGUAAUACAGAGGUCCCAAGCGUUGUUCGGAUUCACUGGGCGUAAAGGGUGCGUAGGCGGUCGAAUAAGUCUGACGUGAAAUCUUCGAGCUCAACUCGGAAACUGCGUCGGAAACUAUUCGGCUAGAGGUUUGGAUGGGAGACUGGAAUUCUCGGUGUAGCAGUGAAAUGCGUAGAUAUCGAGAGGAACACCAGUGGCGAAGGCGAGUCUCUGGACAAAUCCUGACGCUGAGGCACGAAAGCUAGGGGAGCAAACAGGAUUAGAAACCCCGGUAGUCC